UACAGAGGGGGCGAGCGUUGUUCGGAAUUACUGGGCGUAAAGCGCACGUAGGCGGCUUUGUAAGUUAGAGGUGAAAGCCCAGGGCUUAACCCUGGAAUUGCCUUUAAGACUGCAUCGCUAGAAUCGUGGAGAGGUGAGUGGAAUUCCGAGUGUAGAGGUGAAAUUCGUAGAUAUUCGGAAGAACACCAGUGGCGAAGGCGACUUACUGGACACAUAUUGACGCUGAGGUGCGAAAGCGUGGGGAGCAAACAGG
Molecule: ribosomal RNA, 253 nt
Filed under: uncultured bacterium
Lineage: Bacteria
Description: partial 16S ribosomal RNA
Rfam family: Bacterial small subunit ribosomal RNA
Source: RNAcentral